GAUGAACGCUGGCGGCGUGCCUAAUACAUGCAAGUCGAGCGAACAGACGAGGAGCUUGCUCCUCUGACGUUAGCGGCGGACGGGUGAGUAACACGUGGAUAACCUACCUAUAAGACUGGGAUAACUUCGGGAAACCGGAGCUAAUACCGGAUAAUAUAUUGAACCGCAUGGUUCAAUAGUGAAAGACGGUUUUGCCGUCACUUAUAGAUGGAUCCGCGCCGCAUUAGCUAGUUGGUAAGGUAACGGCUUACCAAGGCAACGAUGCGUAGCCGACCUGAGAGGGGGAAGGGCCAAACGGGAACUGAAACAGGGGCCAAACCCCUACGGGAGGCAGGAGUAGGGAAUUUUCCGCAAUGGGGGAAAGCCUGAGGGAGCAACGCCGGGUGAGGGAGGAAGGUUUUCGGAUGGGAAAACGCUUUUAUUAGGGAAAAAAAAAUGGGAAAGUAAAGAGGCACGCUUUGACGGUACCAAAUCAGAAAGCCACGGCUAAAUACGU
RNAcentral lists this ribosomal RNA (496 nucleotides) under uncultured bacterium. Its description in RNAcentral is "partial 16S ribosomal RNA". It matches the Rfam family "Bacterial small subunit ribosomal RNA", at positions 28 to 506 of the family's 1533-position model. The record is from RNAcentral.